This 399-nucleotide ribosomal RNA is filed under the name uncultured bacterium. Its description in RNAcentral is "partial 16S ribosomal RNA". It matches the Rfam family "Bacterial small subunit ribosomal RNA", at positions 360 to 776 of the family's 1533-position model. The record is from RNAcentral.
AAUAUUGCACAAUGGGCGAAAUCCUGUUGCAGCAACGCCGCGUGAGUGAUUAAUGCCUACGGGUCGUAAAGCUCUUUGAUCAGGGAUGAUAAUGACAGUACAUGAAAAACAAGCCACGGCUAACUACGUUCCAGCAGCCGCGGUAAUACGUAGGUGGCGAGCGUUGUACGGAACUACUGGGCGUAAAGGAUGCGUAGGUGGAUACUUAAGUGGGAUGUGAAAUCCACGGGCUCAACCCGGGAACUGCAUUCCAAACAGGGUAUCUAGAGUGCAGGAGAGGAAAGCGGAAUUCCUAGUGUAGCGGUGAAAUGCGUAGAUAUUAGGAGGAACACCAGUGGCGAAGGCGGCUUUCUGGACUGUAACUGACACUGAGGCAUGAAAGCGUGGGUAGCAAACAGG